RNAcentral lists this ribosomal RNA (400 nucleotides) under phytoplankton environmental sample. RNAcentral describes it as "partial small subunit ribosomal RNA". It matches the Rfam family "Eukaryotic small subunit ribosomal RNA", at positions 587 to 974 of the family's 1831-position model. The record is from RNAcentral.
AGCUCUACUAGUGUACACUGAAGUUGUUGCAGUUAAAAAGUUCGUAGUCGAAGUUGUUAUAGAGGUACUUUGGGACUUUUUAGUUUGCAGAGUUGCCAAUAUGACUGUAAAGGUGGGGUGGGUUUGAGAGUUAUUCAGUUAGCUGUCGGGCUCGUUAAGCUCUGCUUUUGGUUCAUUUUGAAUAAAACAAAUUGCUCAAAGAAGAGUGUAUAUGCUCGUUGAUUGUUUAGCAUAAGAUGAUGAAAGAGGCACGGGCGGGUGUUUUAUAGUUGGUUGUAAUGCGCACGUGAAUGAUGAAUAAGAGCGGAAAGGGGCAUUCGGACUCUCAAAUUAGAGGUGAAAUUCUGUGAUUUUGGGAAGACGAACAGAUGCGAAAGCGGUUGCCAGAGACGCGUCUAUU